CCAUGCUUGGCAAUGCCAGCAGCAUGAAUCUUAAGGAUUUCCAUUCGUGACUGUUCAUUUGGCAGUGGAAUCUCUAUUUUUCUAUCUAAUCGCCCAGGACGUAGAAGUGCAGGGUCGAGAACAUCAGGUCUGUUUGUUGCCAUUAUCAUUUUAACCUUCCCAAGCUGAUCAAAUCCAUCAAGCUGAUUAAGUAACUCCAUCAGCGUUCUUUGAAUUUCACGAUCAGCACUUGUUCCCUCACUGAAACGGCGCCCACCAAUGGCAUCAAUCUCAUCCAUGAA
This 281-nucleotide unclassified non-coding RNA is filed under the name Hevea brasiliensis (rubber tree). Lineage: Eukaryota; Viridiplantae; Streptophyta; Magnoliopsida; Malpighiales; Euphorbiaceae. The record is from RNAcentral.